Molecule: ribosomal RNA, 442 nt
Filed under: uncultured bacterium
Lineage: Bacteria
Description: partial 16S ribosomal RNA
Rfam family: Bacterial small subunit ribosomal RNA
Source: RNAcentral
CCUACGGGAUGCAGCAGUGGGGAAUAUUGGGCAAUGGGCGCAAGCCUGACCCAGCAAAGCCGCGUGAAGGAAGAAGGCUUUCGGGUUGUUAACUUCUUUUGUCAGGGAAGAGUAGAAGACGGUACCUGACUAAGUCGCUCCGGCUAAAUCCGUGCAAGCAGCCGCGGUAAUACGUAUGGCGCAAGCGUUAUCCGGAUUUACUGGGUGGAAAGGGAGCGUAGGCGGGCCUGUAAGUUUGAUGUGAAAAUUUGGGGCUCAACCCCAAACGUGCAUUGGAAACUGCAGGGCUUGAGUGACGGAGAGGCAGGCGGAAUGCCUAGUGUAGCGGUGAAAUGCGUAGAUAUCAGGAGGAACACCAGUGGCGAAGGCGGCCUGCUGGACGGUAACUGACGCUGAGGCUCGAAAGCGUGGGGAGCAAACAGGAUUAGAGACCCUAGUAGUC